Molecule: ribosomal RNA, 375 nt
Filed under: uncultured eukaryote
Lineage: Eukaryota
Description: partial 18S ribosomal RNA
Rfam family: Eukaryotic small subunit ribosomal RNA
Source: RNAcentral
CAAUAGCGUAUAUUUAAGUUGUUGCAGUUAAAAAGCUCGUAGUUGGAUUCCGGUUAAGAGCGACCGGUCCGCCGUUUGGUGUGCACUGGUUGGUUUUAACUUCCUGUAGAGGACGUGCUCUGGGUUUAACGACCUGGACUCGGAGUCUACGUGGUUACUUUGAAAAAAUUAGAGUGUUCAAAGCGGGCUUACGCUUGAAUAUUUCAGCAUGGAAUAACACUAUAGGACUCCUGUCCUAUUUCGUUGGUCUCGGGACGGGAGUAAUGAUUAAGAGGAACAGUUGGGGGCAUUCGUAUUUCAUUGUCAGAGGUGAAAUUCUUGGAUUUAUGAAAGACGAACUUCUGCGAAAGCAUUUGCCAAGGAUGUUUUCAUUAA